This 497-nucleotide ribosomal RNA is filed under the name uncultured bacterium. RNAcentral's name for it is "partial 16S ribosomal RNA". It matches the Rfam family "Bacterial small subunit ribosomal RNA", at positions 28 to 507 of the family's 1533-position model. The record is from RNAcentral.
GAUGAACGCUGGCGGCGUGCCUAAUACAUGCAAGUCGAGCGAACGGACGAGAAGCUUGCUUCUCUGAUGUUAGCGGCGGACGGGUGAGUAACACGUGGAUAACCUACCUAUAAGACUGGGAUAACUUCGGGAAACCGGAGCUAAUACCGGAUAAUAUUUUGAACCGCAUGGUUCAAAAGUGAAAGACGGUCUUGCUGUCACUUAUAGAUGGAUCCGCGCUGCAUUAGCUAGUUGGUAAGGUAACGGCUUACCAAGGCAACGAUGCAUAGCCGACCUGAGAGGGUGAUCGGCCACACUGGAACUGAGACACGGUCCAGACUCCUACGGGAGGCAGCAGUAGGGAAUCUUCCGCAAUGGGCGAAAGCCUGACGGAGCAACGCCGCGUGAGUGAUGAAGGUCUUCGGAUCGUAAAACUCUGUUAUUAGGGAAGAACAUAUGUGUAAGUAACUGUGCACAUCUUGACGGUACCUAAUCAGAAAGCCACUGCUAACUACGUG